UACGGAGGGUGCAAGCGUUAUCCGGAUUCACUGGGUUUAAAGGGUGCGUAGGCGGGUGUGUAAGUCCGUGGUGAAAUCUCCGAGCUUAACUCGGAAACUGCCGUGGGUACUGCAUAUCUUGAAUGUUGUGGAGGUGAGCGGAAUAUGUCAUGUAGCGGUGAAAUGCUUAGAUAUGACAUAGAACACCAAUUGCGAAGGCAGCUCACUACGCAAAUAUUGACGCUGAGGCACGAAAGCGUGGGGAUCAAACAGG
This 253-nucleotide ribosomal RNA is filed under the name uncultured bacterium. RNAcentral describes it as "partial 16S ribosomal RNA". It matches the Rfam family "Bacterial small subunit ribosomal RNA", at positions 524 to 776 of the family's 1533-position model. The record is from RNAcentral.